GCUACGGGGGGCAGCAGUGAGGAAUAUUGGUCAAUGGGCUUACGCCUGAACCAGCCAAGUCGCGUGAGGGAAGACUGCCCUAUGGGUUGUAAACCUCUUUUGUCAGGGAGCAACGCCGGCUACGUGUAGCCGGACUGAGAGUACCCGAAGAAAAAGCAUCGGCUAACUCCGUGCCAGCAGCCGCGGUAAUACGGAGGAUGCGAGCGUUAUCCGGAUUUAUUGGGUUUAAAGGGUGCGUAGGCGGACUGGAAAGUCAGCGGUAAAAUCGAGAGGCUCAACCUCUUUCCGCCGUUGAAACUGUCGGUCGUGAGUGGGCGAGAAGUAUGCGGAAUGCGUGGUGUAGCGGUGAAAUGCAUAGAUAUCACGCAGAACUCCGAUUGCGAAGGCAGCAUACCGGCGCCCGACUGACGCUGAGGCACGAAAGCGUGGGUAUCGAACAGGAUUAGAUACCCGUGUAGUC
This 460-nucleotide ribosomal RNA is filed under the name uncultured bacterium. RNAcentral describes it as "partial 16S ribosomal RNA". It matches the Rfam family "Bacterial small subunit ribosomal RNA", at positions 338 to 795 of the family's 1533-position model. The record is from RNAcentral.